GAUGAACGCUGGCGGCGUGCCUAAUACAUGCAAGUCGAGCGAACAGACGAGGAGCUUGCUCCUUUGACGUUAGCGGCGGACGGGUGAGUAACACGUGGGUAACCUACCUAUAAGACUGGGAUAACUUCGGGAAACCGGAGCUAAUACCGGAUAAUAUUUCGAACCGCAUGGUUCGAUAGUGAAAGAUGGCUUUGCUAUCACUUAUAGAUGGACCUGCGCCGUAUUAGCUAGUUGGUAAGGUAACGGCUUACCAAGGCAACGAUACGUAGCCGACCUGAGAGGGUGAUCGGCCACACUGGAACUGAGACACGGUCCAGACUCCUACGGGAGGCAGCAGUAGGGAAUCUGCCGCAAUGGGCGAAAGCCUGACGGAGCAACGCCGCGUGAGUGAUGAAGGUCUUCGGAUCGUAAAACUCUGUUAUUAGGGAAGAACAAACGUGUAAGUAACUGUGCACGUCUUGACGGUACCUAAUCAGAAAGCCACGGCUAACUACGU
RNAcentral lists this ribosomal RNA (496 nucleotides) under uncultured bacterium. RNAcentral describes it as "partial 16S ribosomal RNA". It matches the Rfam family "Bacterial small subunit ribosomal RNA", at positions 28 to 506 of the family's 1533-position model. The record is from RNAcentral.